CACUCCCUAACCCUUAUGUGAACCUACCUAUUGUUGCUUCGGCGGACUCGCCCCAGCCGGACGCGGACUGGACCAGCGGCCGCCGGGGACCCUCAAACUCUUGUAUUAUCAGCAUCUUCUGAAUACGCCGCAAGGCAAAACAAAUAAAUCAAAACUUUCAACAACGGAUCUCUUGGCUCUGGCAUCGAUGAAGAACGCAGCGAAAUGCGAUAAGUAAUGUGAAUUGCAGAAUCCAGUGAAUCAUCGAAUCUUUGAACGCACAUUGCGCCCGCCAGCAUUCUGGCGGGCAUGCCUGUUCGAGCGUCAUUUCAACCCUCGACCUCCCUUUGGGGAAGUCGGCGUUGGGGACCGGCAGCACACCGCCGGCCCUGAAAUGGAGUGGCGGCCCGUCCGCGGCGACCUCUGCGUAGUAAUCCAACUCGCACCGGAACCCCGACGCGGCCACGCCGUAAAACACCCAACUUCUGAACGUGACCUCGAAUCAGGUA
This 488-nucleotide ribosomal RNA is filed under the name Cordyceps sp. THIF25. Its description in RNAcentral is "eukaryotic LSU rRNA". The stretch from base 153 to 306 matches the Rfam family "5.8S ribosomal RNA". Lineage: Eukaryota; Fungi; Ascomycota; Sordariomycetes; Hypocreales; Cordycipitaceae. The record is from RNAcentral.